This is a non-coding RNA of Pelobates cultripes (western spadefoot toad), 205 nucleotides long. NCBI's taxonomy places the organism in Eukaryota, Metazoa, Chordata, Amphibia, Anura, Pelobatidae. The record is from the annotation of a GenBank genome assembly.
AAUUGGUAUAGGCCGAAUGGGGUGAUGAAGGCUGACUUGGGUAUAGCAUUUUCUGCCAGGGGAAUCUGCCAAUAUCCCUUACAUAGGUCAAUUGUGGUCAGAUACUUCCCUGCAGAGAUACGGUCAAGCAGUUCAUCCAUCCGUGGCAUUGGAUAGGCGUCGGUAACUGUCUUGUCAUUGAGCCGCCGGUAAUCUACACAGAAGC